CCGAAAUUAAACGCGUUUAACGACGGACCGUUUUCACCAGCGUUUCGCUCCGUUUCACAAACUGCGUUUAUUGAAACGCAGUUUAAGAAACUGGAAACACUGGCAUCGUUGCAAAAGUGAGAACUAUUACGAUUCUCAUCGCAAAAUCAUCUUAUCAAAGAACCAUUUGGGUCCAUGACGUCAAUAACCCGUUAUCAAACCCAAACUUUCUGCUCGAACUAACCGUAAACAUUUAAAGUUUGCUUUGUUUAUGCACGGUUUGUGCAUUCGUGUAUGGCUUAUGACUGGUAUACACGUUUUUAUUAGAUUUUCUAUUUGAAAAAUUACUUAAACAAGUAGAAAAUUAAGUCCUGCGGACGCCCUUUCAGAUCCUUAUAAAAUUCAUUGAAUAAACAAGGCAAGCGGAGGAGUCAGGAAGGAUUUUACUGGGUAAACAUCUUGGCUGGAAUCUCACAAAACCCAGAACACCAGCUCUAUCGCGGAGCUCACCCCGUGUACAAUUGGAUGUGAUGUAGUUGUGCUGAAACCCUUAAAAUCUCUAGCAGAAGUUUGCAUGCAUUCUGUGGCAUAAAACCGCGAAGCACCGAGAAGUUGGCUUAUCGGCGACACAAUUACAGACAGGACAGGCAAAGUACAUAAGUGGCAUUAAAAUAUUCGUAGACUUCUUCGAAAAUUAAGUUAUAAACUGGCCUACGUGCCAUUUCUAUUUUAUUAUUUUUCGGUCGACCGACAGCAACAAUUCUUUACACAGUGAGGUUAGAUCAAGUCUUUAAACGGCGUUUAAAGCUAUAAACGCCCAAAAUCUGCCAGUUCGUUUCUUUAAACGCGUUUAAGCACAAACUAAGUUUAAGGUUCUGGUGAAAUCCGUUUCGCGCGUCAAAUUGAGUUUCAGACGUUAAACUGGUUUAAGAUCGCUUGAUGAAAAUGGGCCCAAGUGAGCUAAGCCGGUGAAGCGGUUCUGAGAUGAUCCCACAAAAAUCUAGAGACCUGUUGGGCUGUCACUUCAUCAUUACGCAAUAUAAGCUAAUGUAGUGGUGCUUCAGCGGGUUUUUUUGCCCAAUACUGACAGAUUUGUUGAUUUACUUGUCGCCUUAAUAUAAAUCUUGAGAUAUCUGCAAAAAUUAUAUCUUUAACUUCGACGGAUUCUAAUAUCUGAGUUUUGCCCUAUGGUCAUAAAACAUACAUUUUUACUAAAUUGUACAAUUAAGUUAGAACAUGAAAUAUGCCUAUUGAAAUAUUGCAAUGCGAACAGACACUUUCUACAGAUAUGUCAACAAUAAAUAAAUUAAAAACGAACUGCCAAGCAAGAGCGAAGCAAGUCAAGCAAGAGCAGAGCAAUGCAUCAUCGAAAGGGCGAACAAGCACAUGAUAUAUCAUGAUAUAAUCGUCUUUAUUAUGUAGUUUUUUUUUUCGAAAACAUGUAUGAAUGUAGUUUGCUACAGACAUCGGUCCAUAGUCCUUUCGUGUCGUGUGAAUCACGUUCUUAAAUGGAAAAUAUAAAAUUAUUGUACCCCAUAUCCCACCUGGUAACUGCUGAAUUAAAGUUGUAUAUUCGAA
Dendroctonus ponderosae (mountain pine beetle) is the source of this 1557-nucleotide long non-coding RNA. RefSeq lists it as uncharacterized. The record is from RefSeq and is a predicted model, not a curated record. Lineage: Eukaryota; Metazoa; Arthropoda; Insecta; Coleoptera; Curculionidae. The transcript has 2 exons.